AGCGUGACGCUACUGAAAACUGCUGAGAUGCAGGGUGAGGAAGGCUGCCCGGCCCCCCAGAACCUGACCUUGCCUCUGACAAGAGUACCUGGGGUGCAGCUACGGCAAAGAAGAACCUGGAAAGAGAGCAAGCACAAGCAGUGGGAAAGGAGAGGGAGAGGGAGAAGCAGCCUCCCAGCAGGGAGCCCAGCCUGGAGCUGACCCCAGGACCUGGAGAUCACGACCUGAGCCAAAGGCCCCGCUCAACCAGCUGAGCACCCCCAGGCGCCCCAGCUGCCGUCACGUCUGAUAAGAGAGAGACCAUCAUCUGUGAUGGUGGUCAUAGAAGUUGCUGAGAGAUGGCCAGAAGGGGUGAGAUCCCAGAGGCGGCUUUGCAGGAGGAUGCGGAGGUAAGCAGAGGCACAGCCUCUAGAGCUUGCUGUCACUUGUCUUCUGCUGAACUUCAAUAGAACGCAAAACGGAUGUUAACAAAAAAACUCAGAAACGGGCUUCCAGGCUUAGACACCCGGCUCUUUUUCACCGAUGGGGAUCGUGGCUGUGAUCAGAGGAAAUUCUUUCCUGCCCCAGUGGAAUUUUAUUUUUUAUUUCUUUUUAUUUUUAUUUUAUUAUUAUUUUUUGGAAUUGAGUUUUGUACUGGAUAGUGGAGUUUUUUUCAGCAAUUUUGACAGUGUUGGGUAAAUGGCACAUGGACUUUUGGGUGCUCUGCCCUGAGAACAGGUUUGGGGAUGCUGGAGGGGAGGGAGCCCUGAAAGCCUUCUGCACUCCUCCGUCCCCCUCCCGGCUCACUGAACUUCUCCCCAUAUCCUUCCUCCUCUCUCUCUCUCUCUCUCCCCCUAGCUCCCUCCCCACCCCACCACCUCUCUCCCUCUCUGCCCUGGUUAUUAAUAUCCUCAAGGGAGCCCAGAAAGUUAAACCCAAGUCCCCCCUGGAGUUCAGCUGGCAGGAAGAAAAUCCCGAAAUGGGAGUAAUUUGAUACGUCUGGAAGCAGGGAAAACAAAAUUUAAAAUAGAAGCUUCCUUCCAAGAGGCAAUUAUAAUAAUGUCUUACGGCUUUACAUCACUUGGCAGGCUGUAAUGCGUUGUUAGGUUCAUUACUUCAUUUGAUCUUUAUAUCAGUCCUGGGAGAAACUGUGCUCUUAUCAACUUCCCGUGAUUAAAAACAUGAAACAACAACAAAACAGAACAUAAAGAAACAUAACAGACAAAUACAUGAAGGCUUAGAAGGGUAAAGACCAUUCCCAAAGGUGCUUCGGGUAGGAAAGUACAGCCUUCUAAGCGACUUGUUCACAUCCACGGAGCAAAAAAGCGCAUGACUUCAGCAAGGAGAGGGACCAAACGAUGGCUACUUGGCCCACUCGGGAUGGCCCCCCCAGGGAAUGGGGGGGGGAGUCAGCCCCUAAAGUUGACAUAGUCUAUGAUCUCAUUUACAUAAAAUUCUUGAAAUGCCGAAGUCUUCAAGACCCCAUGGUCCAGCGGUUGGGUAUGGAAGGAGGUAGGGCAGGAGGGGGGUGGGUGCAGCUGUGACCCAAGGCAUCUUGGUGGUGCCAGAAUUGCUGAAUAUCUGCACUGUGACAGUGGAGACAGGACACUUCACGUGUGAAAAAGCACAUAGAUCCAAAUGCACACACACGCACAAGUACAAGCAAAACGGGAGAAAUCUAGGUAGAUGGACUCCAUCACCAUCAACAUCCCGGUUGUGAUAUUUUACUACAGUUUUGCAAAAUGUUACCAUUGGGAGAAACUAGGUAAAGGGUAGACAAGCUCUCUCUGUUUAAUUUCUUACAACUGCAUCUGAAUCUAUAAUUAUCUCAAUAAAAACUCCAU
Molecule: long non-coding RNA, 1823 nt
Organism: Nyctereutes procyonoides (raccoon dog)
Lineage: Eukaryota; Metazoa; Chordata; Mammalia; Carnivora; Canidae
Exons: 3
Source: RefSeq, a predicted model, not a curated record